RNAcentral lists this ribosomal RNA (360 nucleotides) under uncultured bacterium. RNAcentral describes it as "bacterial SSU rRNA". It matches the Rfam family "Bacterial small subunit ribosomal RNA", at positions 29 to 387 of the family's 1533-position model. The record is from RNAcentral.
AUUGAACGCUGGCGGCAUGCCUUACACAUGCAAGUCGAACGCGAAAGUGGGGGCAACCCUGUGAGUAGAGUGGCGAACGGGUGAGUAACACAUCGGAACGUACCCAGGAGUGGGGGACAACCUCGAGAAAUCGAGGCUAAUACCGCAUACGUCCUGAGGGAGAAAGCGGGGGAUUCGCAAGGACCUCGCGCUCAUGGAGCGGCCGAUGUCGGAUUAGCUAGUUGGCGGGGUAAAAGCCCACCAAGGCUACGAUCCGUAGCUGGUUUGAGAGAACGACCAGCCACACUGGGACUGAGACACGGCCCAGACUCCUACGGGAGGCAGCAGUGGGGAAUUUUGGACAAUGGGCGCAAGCCUGAU